This 290-nucleotide ribosomal RNA is filed under the name Ruegeria sp. SFLA38. RNAcentral describes it as "partial 16S ribosomal RNA". It matches the Rfam family "Bacterial small subunit ribosomal RNA", at positions 15 to 333 of the family's 1533-position model. Lineage: Bacteria; Pseudomonadati; Pseudomonadota; Alphaproteobacteria; Rhodobacterales; Roseobacteraceae. The record is from RNAcentral.
GAUCCUGGCUCAGAACGAACGUUGCGGGCAGGCCUAACACAUGCAAGUCGAGCGCACCUUUUCGGGUGAGCGGCGGACGGGUUAGUAACGCGUGGGAAUAUACCCUUUGGUACGGAAUAGCCUUUGGAAACGGAGAGUAAUACCGUAUGAGCCCUUCGGGGGAAAGAUUUAUCGCCAAAGGAUUAGCCCGCGUUAGAUUAGGUAGUUGGUGGGGUAAUGGCCUACCAAGCCUACGAUCUAUAGCUGGUUUUAGAGGAUGAUCAGCAACACUGGGACUGAGACACGGCCCA